Molecule: ribosomal RNA, 379 nt
Filed under: uncultured soil bacterium
Lineage: Bacteria
Description: bacterial SSU rRNA
Rfam family: Bacterial small subunit ribosomal RNA
Source: RNAcentral
AGAUUGAACGCUGGCGGCAUGCCUUACACAUGCAAGUCGAACGGUAGAGUAGCAAUACUCGAGAGUGGCGAACGGGUGAGUAAUAUAUCGGAACGUGCCCAGUCGUGGGGGAUAACGUAGAGAAAUUUACGCUAAUACCGCACACGAUCUAAGGAUGAAAGCGGGGGAUCGCAAGACCUCGCGCGAUUGGAGCGGCUGAUAUCAGAUUAGGUUGUUGGUGAGGUAAAAGCUCACCAAGCCGACGAUCUGUAGCUGGUUUGAGAGAACGACCAGCCACACUGGGACUGAGACACGGCCCAGACUCCUACGGGAGCAGCAGUGGGAAUUUGGACAAUGGGCGAAAGCCUGAUCCAGCAAUGCCGCGUGCAGGAAGAAGGCC